UCACUAAUAACUUUUGACCAGUUUGUGCUACCUAGCUACUUGUUUCUUUCUUGUCACUAAAAGAAUUUCUUUUCUAAGACCAUGGCCAUUUCAAUUAAGUCAAGACCAUUUGUUCUCCUCCUAAUUCUUAUGGCAUUAUUGCUUAUAGUGAAUUCAGAGGCAAGACAUGUCUCUAAGUUGUCUAUAAUGGGCAAUAAGAUUAAGAAUAAGGUUGUGAAGCGCGAAUUGAUCAACACCAACAAUGUGAAGUCUCACCCAAGAAGGUUAAUGCAAGGAAGAGCAAGAAUACAGAGAAUGUCUCCUGAUGGACCAGACACUCAACAUCACUAGCUACUCAAAUCAAAUUGAGGAAUUAUAUUUGAGCAAAUGUCUUUUUCGAUUUUUAACUUUUUUUAAAAAAAAAAAUAAAACACUUUUUUGUAUAUAAUUUAAAAAAUUUUAAUCAGUCUUUAAUAUUUAAGUAAUUGGUCUAAACGAUACAUGCUGACUUAUUAGGAGUCACUUAUAUCGAUAAUAGAAACUGUUUAGAUCAAUUAUUUGAAUAAUUGAGAACUAAUUAAAAUUUUUUGAAUUGUUAAAAACCCUUUUUUUUUUUUUUGGACAAAUAGUAAAAAACUGAAAAUGGCAUUUACUCGUAUUGUUUAGACAAUUAUCAUCUUUAUUUUAAAAAAGUAUCAAUUUUUUAUGUAUUUAGAUAUAACUACCGAAUCUAAAUACAUAAAACAAGAUUUUUUUUUUUAAAAAUAUAUUACUUUUGUUUUUGAUUAAUUGUCUACUUUAUUCUGUUUGGUAGAAUAGAAAAGUAAUCUUUCAGUUAAUAAUUAGCCAACAAAUAAAUGAGAUGAGAGGAAAAUAUAAUGUUUGGUUGUUGCUGUAGAGAGAAAAACAAAAAUUUUAAAUAGAGAGAGUAAUGUUGGCUCAUUAUUAGAAAAAAAGUAUUAAAUUUCUAACGAAACAGAAUGAAAAAUCAAUGUACUUGGACAAUUAAUUGAAAAUAGAAGGAAUAUAAGAUUUUCUAUUAAGAGAGCAAUUUUAAAGUGGUUUAUUUUCUUUAUCAAUUAUUCUAGUUCAUUUAUAAUGGCUCUCACAAAAAAGUUGUUAAGUCCGAAUAUGAUUUCUCAAUGAAAUAGAUGGUAAUCGGAGAUAUUACUGUUUCCACUUUCCACCCGGCGGAUCAAUCCGAAUAAGCUCAAUAGAAAAUAAUAAUGUGGGUUUUCUCAUGUUGGUAUUUUAAUCUAUUCAAAUAUAUUAAUAAGUUCAAACUUGAAUGCUUUGACAUGUACUUGUUUUUGGUUUGCUGCAAGGGUAAGCUAGCAAACUGAAAUUCAGAGAAAAAUGAAUGGGGGUGAUGUAUGUGAAGCAAUUUUUGCUAAUAAUUUGUCAUCUCAUUUUUAUUUGCACUACUUAAGUUUAUUUCAACUCUUCUUUAAAUUUAUUAUAUUCUCUUGUAUGACGAAUAAUUAUCUAUAAAGAGAGAUGUCC
RNAcentral lists this long non-coding RNA (1482 nucleotides) under Arachis ipaensis. Its description in RNAcentral is "long non-coding RNA (AIPA_LNC000610)". Lineage: Eukaryota; Viridiplantae; Streptophyta; Magnoliopsida; Fabales; Fabaceae. The record is from RNAcentral.